Molecule: long non-coding RNA, 2933 nt
Organism: Homo sapiens (human)
Lineage: Eukaryota; Metazoa; Chordata; Mammalia; Primates; Hominidae
Gene: MIR100HG
Product: mir-100-let-7a-2-mir-125b-1 cluster host gene
Source: Ensembl
CUUUUUGCAAGCAGCUGCACUGUGAGUUCGCCUUCCAUUAGUAAAGGGACAAUGAAGGGAAGGCGAACCCCGCGUCCAAAACAUGGCCAAUGAAAGGACACUGGAAUGGAAGCCAGGAAUCCUGCUGUGGUGGAGAGGCAUAGACUCAUGAGUCCACCACAAUCGGAUACUUGCUUCUUUUUAACAGCCCUAUCAGCCGAGAGAAAUAAUGACUCCUGAAUCAUUUGACAGUAAAAAAGUUAAAAUGAUGUCUCAAUGGCGCUGCAUCAUGCCAGACGCGCGUGGAUGAUUUGAAGAUAUUAGCCUAACAAGAUGGAAGCAGGUUUAAAAUUUUACAUAAGAAGUUACCUUUUUCAGCUGGUCCUAUAGUACCCCUCCUCAGGAAUGUCUCCCCAGUGCAAGGACAAAGACUGAAGAGACUGCUAUAUUGAUGGACUCUCAAGCCAACUAUGAAGUUGAAACAAAGAAAGUGAUCACCUGAAGACACCUCCUCUGCUAAGAAACACCCCCAAAUUGUGCAGCUUCUGCCACUAGAACUCUCAGAACAAGAGACAAUCUUUUCAAGAAACAGAAAAACUCAAUAAUGACAUCUAGAUUUUCAUGAGCCAAGAACUUUCCCUUCCUCAUGUGUAUUCCUCUGUUUGUACUUAAAUUCAUGUGACAUUCAUUUUUUUCCUAGUAUGGAUAUGCUUAUUAAUGCACUUGUUUCAAAAUCCCAAAUUGCACAAAUGUGUUAAUAUUUUAAGAAACAAAAUGAAUCCUACAAGGAGAAUGAUUUUUAGCCACACAUAGGGUUGGAUCUUGAGAGUGACCUACAGAAUAAAAGUACUUUUAAAAUAAAGUAGUCAGAGGCUAUUCAAAGGGUAAAAUAAUCAUAGUACCACAUUGGUCCACUUGACACUAACCAAUCGAUCAUUUUUUUUUAAUCAAGAAAGCUAGAUUCUAUCAGAUAAAAUCACUGCUUCUAAAGAGUUUAAAUCUAGUUAGAAAAAGUUAUAGAAAUGUUUGCAAAGAUAAGUAACAGAUAGAGUCAGUAGAGGAUAAGAUCAAAAACAAAACCAAGCAAAAGAUGAGUUCAGGGGAGUUUGCCAUCAAGUUGGCAAAACUGACUUACUUAGGGAAGAAAGUUAUAAAACAGGAAAAUAUGAGAUGAACCUUGAGUGAUGUGGAAGAUUUAGAUAAAUGGAAAGGAAGGAGAAAAUGGAGUUCUUUAGGUGGUUGUAAUUGGAGGAGGAAAUGAAUACACACAUCUUGUUGACUUAAACCCAGACAUUCAGCAGCUCUCUAUACAUAUCUGGAAAAGACUGCACAGUCACCUCCUGUCUCUCACCCCAGGUAUUACUUAGAAUUAUUAUCAUAUUUCCCUUCCUUUAAAGUAAGUAAGGGUGAUUGGUGACAAUAUGGAGAACUAUGAUUUUUCCAUUAACCUAAUAAUAAUUGGUAUUUAUUGAGUUCUGUUAAGCAUUUUACAUAUUAACUCACUUAAGCCUUUCAACAGCCUUGCAAAAUAGGUAUUAUUAUCCCCAUUUUACAGGCAAGAAAACUGAGGUUUAAGUAACUUGCCGAAGUGCCAUAUACAGGGCUCACAUUCAGUAUUGCAGUUGCAAAGCUCAUGAUCUAUAGUGCCAAGUUGCAAUAUUGUAGUCAAUGUCACAAUUAUUACCCCUUUUUAUAUUCCUUGAUAUUUUUCCAUGGCAAACAAUUAGCUAUUUCAUUUAAUAAUCACCUAAAACUUUUCAGUCUUCUGAUUAAAAUUACGCUGGAGUGAUAGAAUGUAUUUUCAUGAUAGAAAUUGGGAAAAAAAAUGGGGAAUGAAGUUUAUCAGCAUUUCAGACUUGUUUUUUUUUUUUUUUUUUGCAAGACUUUGAUGAGAUUGUUCACUUUUGUCUAUGUAAAAUCCCAAAUCCUUGAGAAUAAAAAAGGGGGAGGUUUAAGUCACUUGUUGCAAUGCCCUUUUUAAUAGAGGCAAUAAAUCUAAAGGCCAUAAAUUUAGAGUGACUUACAGAAGAUCGAACUUUGGAGUGUGGCAGAGUAAGGGAUGGAAACCGGGCCCUCCAGUUCACUAUCAGUAGCUUUUGCACUGGUCUGCCCUUCCUAAAUUAAGUAUGCACUUCAAUUUGAUGAGUGGAAACAGUCUAUCUGGGCAGUAACCAGGGAGCUUUGUGCCUAGUAGAUUGCUUCUGUUCUGCACUUCUUUGGUUUCCCACCUCAAUGUAAAAAAUAGCUAGCAAUGAAGUCCAGAAGUUGUCAAUGGUUCAUCCCCAGAAGAAUGCAUAAUGUCCAAAGUUGUAUGUGUAUGAUGUCUUCAAUGGUAUUAAGUUAUUUCAAAUUCUUAGUUCACCUACAUAAAUCAUUUCUAACAAGCAUCUUCUUAACCAACUUUAUGCACAGUGUAUGUUUGUAAGUGCUUCUGCACGAAUGUUUAUACAUGACUGUUUCCAUAGUACUUAUGUUUUUAAAAAUAUUCAGUCAUUUCCUACUAUAAUCCUCAUGUAUCCAUGUAACUGACUCAAAAAUACUUCAGCCACAGAAAGCUAAAACUGAGCAAAUCUCAUUCUUCUUUUCCAUCCCCUUUGCAUGUGGCUGGCAUUUAGUAAUGAUUAAUAAUAUGGCCAGCUGAAUAACAGAGGUUUGAGACACAAUUCUUUCUCAAAGGAGUCAGCUAAGCUGGGUCUACUUAUGGACAAACAUCUAAAUGUGUGGAAGUAUCUGAUAUUUGACAAUGGUAAAUUUCCACUUAGCUAGCUAGCAUUGUCAGACUUCAAUCUCCUCAUGGCUCUGGCCGUCCUGUUUUAAGCAUGAUAAUUGUUGGCCACAUCUCACAUAGUUCUCAUUGAGUGAGUUCAUAAAUAAACAGGGUUUUUUUUUUUUUUUAAAGAGCAGCCAAGCACAAAGUGUGACUUUGUUGACAUUUUAUGUGACUUUGUCAUAUG